RNAcentral lists this long non-coding RNA (610 nucleotides) under Setaria viridis. RNAcentral's name for it is "long non-coding RNA (SVIR_LNC007009)". The record is from RNAcentral. Lineage: Eukaryota; Viridiplantae; Streptophyta; Magnoliopsida; Poales; Poaceae.
GUGAAGCUGCUGCGCGAGCUUGUUGCCGUGGAGUCGCCGCCGUUGAGCUACCCGCUGGAAGAACCCUAGCGCCGCCUGUUCCGCCGCUGUUCGCCAUCGACUCCGGUCGAGCCACCUCAGCAUCACCAUCAAUGUGGGCGCGUCGUCGAGGCGAGUUGAGCCAGCAAGUCGCCGUCGCCGGAGACCUCGGCGCCGGCGAGUUGAGGCGCCUACCCGCGCCGGUGCCCACAGCCAAGGCCGGGGGUACUGUGUGCUGACCGGGUCUGCGAAGCAGUGAGAGAGGGUAGAGCGGGGUGCGUGAGAAGAAUUUUUGGGGGGUUUGGAUAAUUAUAGAUUUUUCUUUUGACAGAUAAAUAGUUUAAAUUCGGUUUUUACCAUUUAAUUCACGGGAAAUUCUAGAAAUGUCCAAAAAUAGUGAAACCAAUUUUAUUAGGAUUUUUUAAUUUUCCUUUAUGCAUUAAAAAUUCUUAAACCCUAGGAAAUAUAAUAAAAUUUAGGUAUUUAUUUAUAUCCUUUUUACUUAAGGUAUUUAAAUAAAUGCUUAACCUUUAUUAAAUGCAUAAAAUAUUGAAUAAUGUUUUCAUAUUCACAAAUUAUUAUUAACCCAUAG